This 253-nucleotide ribosomal RNA is filed under the name uncultured bacterium. RNAcentral's name for it is "partial 16S ribosomal RNA". It matches the Rfam family "Bacterial small subunit ribosomal RNA", at positions 524 to 776 of the family's 1533-position model. The record is from RNAcentral.
UACGUAGGGCGCAAGCGUUGUCCGGAAUUAUUGGGCGUAAAGAGCUCGUAGGCGGCCUGUUACGUCUGCUGUGAAAUCCCGGGGCUUAACCCCGGGCGUGCAGUGGAUACGGGCAGGCUGGAGGCAGGCAGGGGAGAACGGAAUUCCCGGUGUAGCGGUGAAAUGCGCAGAUAUCGGGAGGAACACCGGUGGCGAAGGCGGUUCUCCGGGCCUGUACUGACGCUGAGGAGCGAAAGCGUGGGGAGCGAACAGG